This 1529-nucleotide ribosomal RNA is filed under the name Klebsiella pneumoniae subsp. pneumoniae. RNAcentral describes it as "bacterial SSU rRNA". It matches the Rfam family "Bacterial small subunit ribosomal RNA". Lineage: Bacteria; Pseudomonadati; Pseudomonadota; Gammaproteobacteria; Enterobacterales; Enterobacteriaceae. The record is from RNAcentral.
AGAGUUUGAUCAUGGCUCAGAUUGAACGCUGGCGGCAGGCCUAACACAUGCAAGUCGAGCGGUAGCACAGAGAGCUUGCUCUCGGGUGACGAGCGGCGGACGGGUGAGUAAUGUCUGGGAAACUGCCUGAUGGAGGGGGAUAACUACUGGAAACGGUAGCUAAUACCGCAUAACGUCGCAAGACCAAAGUGGGGGACCUUCGGGCCUCAUGCCAUCAGAUGUGCCCAGAUGGGAUUAGCUAGUAGGUGGGGUAACGGCUCACCUAGGCGACGAUCCCUAGCUGGUCUGAGAGGAUGACCAGCCACACUGGAACUGAGACACGGUCCAGACUCCUACGGGAGGCAGCAGUGGGGAAUAUUGCACAAUGGGCGCAAGCCUGAUGCAGCCAUGCCGCGUGUGUGAAGAAGGCCUUCGGGUUGUAAAGCACUUUCAGCGGGGAGGAAGGCGAUAAGGUUAAUAACCUUGUCGAUUGACGUUACCCGCAGAAGAAGCACCGGCUAACUCCGUGCCAGCAGCCGCGGUAAUACGGAGGGUGCAAGCGUUAAUCGGAAUUACUGGGCGUAAAGCGCACGCAGGCGGUCUGUCAAGUCGGAUGUGAAAUCCCCGGGCUUAACCUGGGAACUGCAUUCGAAACUGGCAGGCUAGAGUCUUGUAGAGGGGGGUAGAAUUCCAGGUGUAGCGGUGAAAUGCGUAGAGAUCUGGAGGAAUACCGGUGGCGAAGGCGGCCCCCCUGGACAAAGACUGACGCUCAGGUGCGAAAGCGUGGGGAGCAAACAGGAUUAGAUACCCUGGUAGUCCACGCCGUAAACGAUGUCGAUUUGGAGGUUGUGCCCUUGAGGCGUGGCUUCCGGAGCUAACGCGUUAAAUCGACCGCCUGGGGAGUACGGCCGCAAGGUUAAAACUCAAAUGAAUUGACGGGGGCCCGCACAAGCGGUGGAGCAUGUGGUUUAAUUCGAUGCAACGCGAAGAACCUUACCUGGUCUUGACAUCCACAGAACUUUCCAGAGAUGGAUUGGUGCCUUCGGGAACUGUGAGACAGGUGCUGCAUGGCUGUCGUCAGCUCGUGUUGUGAAAUGUUGGGUUAAGUCCCGCAACGAGCGCAACCCUUAUCCUUUGUUGCCAGCGGUUCGGCCGGGAACUCAAAGGAGACUGCCAGUGAUAAACUGGAGGAAGGUGGGGAUGACGUCAAGUCAUCAUGGCCCUUACGACCAGGGCUACACACGUGCUACAAUGGCAUAUACAAAGAGAAGCGACCUCGCGAGAGCAAGCGGACCUCAUAAAGUAUGUCGUAGUCCGGAUUGGAGUCUGCAACUCGACUCCAUGAAGUCGGAAUCGCUAGUAAUCGUAGAUCAGAAUGCUACGGUGAAUACGUUCCCGGGCCUUGUACACACCGCCCGUCACACCAUGGGAGUGGGUUGCAAAAGAAGUAGGUAGCUUAACCUUCGGGAGGGCGCUUACCACUUUGUGAUUCAUGACUGGGGUGAAGUCGUAACAAGGUAACCGUAGGGGAACCUGCGGUUGGAUCACCU